UGGGGAAUAUUGGACAAUGGGGGCAACCCUGAUCCAGCCAUGCCGCGUGUGUGAAGAAGGCCUUCGGGUUGUAAAGCACUUUCAGUGGGGAGAAAGGUUGUUUACCUAAUACGUAAGCAAAUUGAUGUUACCCACAGAAGAAGCACCGGCUAACUCCGUGCCAGCAGCCGCGGUAAUACGGAGGGUGCAAGCGUUAAUCGGAAUUACUGGGCGUAAAGCGCACGUAGGCGGUUCAGUUAGCCAGCCGUGAAAUCCCCGGGCUCAACCUGGGAAUUGCGGUUGGAACUACUGGGCUGGAGUACAGUAGAGGGGUGUGGAAUUUCAGGUGUAGCGGUGAAAUGCGUAGAUAUCUGAAGGAACAUCAGUGGCGAAGGCGACACCCUGGACUGAUACUGACGCU
Molecule: ribosomal RNA, 400 nt
Filed under: uncultured bacterium
Lineage: Bacteria
Description: bacterial SSU rRNA
Rfam family: Bacterial small subunit ribosomal RNA
Source: RNAcentral